Molecule: long non-coding RNA, 379 nt
Organism: Oppia nitens
Lineage: Eukaryota; Metazoa; Arthropoda; Arachnida; Sarcoptiformes; Oppiidae
Exons: 3
Source: RefSeq, a predicted model, not a curated record
CCAAACACAUAUUUAUCAAUUAAUGGUUUUCCAUACGAGUCUCAUCGUGUGGACACCCGAUCUGCCCGACGGUAUUGCGGCAGUGAAAUCACCCGAACUCUCAACUUUCUUUGCGAGAGUUAUAAUAAAAGGAGUUCAAUCAAUAAAGUGAUUAACGAUCAAGACUUGGAAACCAAUUCAGUAGAAGAGACUAACGAUACACCAAAAUAUUCAUUAGCUUUGGUUCAGUUACUCAGAAACAACAAUGAUUUAAGACAUUUCAGACGACAAAUUCGUGGUGUUGUCGAUGACUGUUGUAAGAGAUCGUGUACUACAACUCAAUUGUCUCAAUAUUGUGAUGUCGUCAGACUCGCCACCACCACAACUACCAGUCCUAGUG